Long non-coding RNA from Lemur catta (Ring-tailed lemur), 339 nucleotides. RefSeq lists it as uncharacterized. The record is from RefSeq and is a predicted model, not a curated record. Lineage: Eukaryota; Metazoa; Chordata; Mammalia; Primates; Lemuridae. The transcript has 3 exons.
UUAUGGGUGACAUUCCAAAUUUUAUGUUUCAGGACAAUGCUGAAGAAAUAUAGUCUGGUUUAAAGGAUUUCAAACACCAUCAAGUGGAUAAACGGAUGCAUAGAGUUCUACAGGAUUUUAUCACACGUGCAUGUUGGAGCGUCCAGGUUCUGAACAGCGUCCACACUGCAAGGACCCUCAUGCUGCGCUUUGGAGGCUGACCUAGGAGGCCCCAGCCCGAUGGAGGGAUAGACAGAAAAGCACGACCGUGGGCCAAACCCAGGCCCCUGCCGGUGUCUGUAUGGCCCGUGAGUAAUGAAUGGUUUUUCCAUUUUUCAAGUGGUUGAAAAAAAUCAAAAG